AUCCAGCCGACAAGUCGCAAACAGGACGAAAUGCGUGUUCUGGAU
This 45-nucleotide non-coding RNA is filed under the name Schistosoma mattheei. The record is from RNAcentral. Lineage: Eukaryota; Metazoa; Platyhelminthes; Trematoda; Strigeidida; Schistosomatidae.